This 582-nucleotide long non-coding RNA is filed under the name Mytilus galloprovincialis (Mediterranean mussel). Lineage: Eukaryota; Metazoa; Mollusca; Bivalvia; Mytilida; Mytilidae. The record is from RNAcentral.
GUCUGUGCGUCCGUUCGUCCGUCCGUUCGUCCGUCCGUUCGUCCGUCUGUCCGUUCGUUCGUCCGUCUGUCCCGCUUCAGGUUAAAGUUUUUGGUCAAGGUAGUUUUUGAUGAAGCUGAAGUCCAAUCAACUUCAAACUUAAUAUACAUGUUCCUUAUGAUAUGAUCUUUCUAAUUUUACAGCCAAAUUAAACUUUUGAACCCAAUUUCAUGGUCCACUGAACAUAGAAAAUGAAAGUGUGAGUUUCAGGUUAAAGUUUUUGGUCAAGGUAGUUUUUGAUGAAGCUGAAGUCCAAUCAACUUCAAACUUAGUAUACAUGUUCCUUAUGAUAUGAUCUUUCUAAUUUUACAGCCAAAUUAAACUUUUGACCCCAAUUUCAUGGUCCACUGAACAUAGAAAAUGAAAGUGUGAGUUUCAGGUUAACCUUUUUGGUCAAGGUAGUUUCUGAUGAAGCUGAAGUCCAAUCAACUUGAAACUUAGUACACAUGUUCCUUAUGAUAUGAUCUUUCUAAUUUUACAGUCAAGUUAAAUUGUUGACCCCAAUUUCACGGUCCACUGAACAUAGAAAAUGAAAGUGUGAGU